Cinara cedri is the source of this 252-nucleotide non-coding RNA. Lineage: Eukaryota; Metazoa; Arthropoda; Insecta; Hemiptera; Aphididae. The record is from the annotation of a GenBank genome assembly.
CUCGACGAAAAAAGCCAAAAAAAAAACUCGAAUAUUUAUUACUGCACUAUAGGUCGUUUUUAUGGUCUUGCUUUAUUUUGAUACGCUUUACGAGAAAUUAUAUACCGACACCUUAGCGCAAUCUUUAUAAUUGUUAAUUACGGAUUAUUAUGAAUAUUUAUUAUUCAACUGCAUUUCGAGCCACUUUACUCAAAAAAUUGUGUAGGUUGGUACAGUCACUAAAUGUAUAAUGUACAACACUAAUUCGGUGCG